UCCCAUGCCGAACCCGGCAGUUAAGCCCUCUUGCUCCGAUGGUACUGCGAUUCGCUUCGUGGGAGAGUAGGAAUUUGCCAAGU
RNAcentral lists this ribosomal RNA (83 nucleotides) under Dethiosulfovibrio peptidovorans. The record is from RNAcentral. Lineage: Bacteria; Thermotogati; Synergistota; Synergistia; Synergistales; Dethiosulfovibrionaceae.